Molecule: ribosomal RNA, 1373 nt
Filed under: uncultured bacterium
Lineage: Bacteria
Description: bacterial SSU rRNA
Rfam family: Bacterial small subunit ribosomal RNA
Source: RNAcentral
GAUGAACGCUGGCGGCGUGCCUAAUACAUGCAAGUCGAGCGAACGGACGAGAAGCUUGCUUCUCUGAUGUUAGCGGCGGACGGGUGAGUAACACGUGGAUAACCUACCUAUAAGACUGGGAUAACUUCGGGAAACCGGAGCUAAUACCGGAUGAUAUUUUGAACCGCAUGGUUCAAAAGUGAAAGACGGUCUUGCUGUCACUUAUAGAUGGAUCCGCGCUGCAUUAGCUAGUUGGUAAGGUAACGGCUUACCAAGGCAACGAUGCAUAGCCGACCUGAGAGGGUGAUCGGCCACACUGGAACUGAGACACGGUCCAGACUCCUACGGGAGGCAGCAGUAGGGAAUCUUCCGCAAUGGGCGAAAGCCUGACGGAGCAACGCCGCGUGAGUGAUGAAGGUCUUCGGAUCGUNAAACUCUGUUAUUAGGGAAAGACAUAUGUGUAAGUAACUGUGCACAUCUUGACGGUACCUAAUCAGAAAGCCACGGCUAACUACGUGCCAGCAGCCGCGGGUAUACGUAGGUGGCAAGCGUUAUCCGGGAUUAUUUGGGCGUAAAGCGCGCGUAAGCCGUUUUUUAAGUCUGAUGUGAAAGCCCACGGCUCAACCGUGGAGGGUCAUUGGAAACUGGAAAACUUGAGUGCAGAAGAGGAAAGUGGAAUUCCAUGUGUAGCGGUGAAAUGCGCAGAGAUAUGGAGGAACACCAGUGGCGAAGGCGACUUUCUGGUCUGUAACUGACGCUGAUGUGCGAAAGCGUGGGGAUCAAACAGGAUUAGAUACCCUGGUAGUCCACGCCGUAAACGAUGAGUGCUAAGUGUUAGGGGGUUUCCGCCCCUUAGUGCUGCAGCUAACACAUUAAGCACUCCGCCUGGGGAGUACGACCGCAAGGUUGAAACUCAAAGGAAUUGACGGGGACCCGCACAAGCGGUGGAGCAUGUGGUUUAAUUCGAAGCAACGCGAAGAACCUAACCAAAUCUUGACAUCCUUUGACAACUCUAGAGAUAGAGCCUUCCCCUUCGGGGGACAAAGUGACAGGUGGUGCAUGGUUGUCGUCAGCUCGUGUCGUGAGAUGUUGGGUUAAGUCCCGCAACGAGCGCAACCCUUAAGCUUAGUUGCCAUCAUUAAGUUGGGCACUCUAAGUUGACUGCCGGUGACAAACCGGAGGAAGGUGGGGAUGACGUCAAAUCAUCAUGCCCCUUAUGAUUUGGGCUACACACGUGCUACAAUGGACAAUACAAAGGGCAGCGAAACCGCGAGGUCAAGCAAAUCCCAUAAAGUUGUUCUCAGUUCGGAUUGUAGUCUGCAACUCGACUACAUGAAGCUGGAAUCGCUAGUAAUCGUAGAUCAGCAUGCUACGGUGAAUACGUUCCCGGGUCU